This is a microRNA precursor of Gallus gallus (chicken), 86 nucleotides long. NCBI's taxonomy places the organism in Eukaryota, Metazoa, Chordata, Aves, Galliformes, Phasianidae. The record is from Ensembl.
UUCCCAAGGAGUUUCUCAUUGCAUGUUAACAGCAAGAUUUGGUUUGUCUCUUCUGUGGCUGCAAGGAGAGAUUCCCAGAUGUGGAA